UGAGGAAUAUUGGGCAAUGCCCGCAAGGGUGACCCAGCAACGCCGCGUGGAGGAUGAAUGUCGUAAGAUUGUAAACUCCUGUUAGAGGGGAAGAAUAGUACCGGUUGGACCGGUAUAUGACUGUACCCUCAGAGAAAGCCCCGGCUAACUACGUGCCAGCAGCCGCGGUAAUACGUAGGGGGCAAGCGUUGUCCGGAUUUACUGGGUGUAAAGGGCGCGCAGGCGGGAUAAAAAGUCAGUGGUGAAAUCCUACAGCUUAACUGUAGAACUGCCUUUGAUACUUUUAUACUCGAGUUCGGGAGAGAGAGACGGAAUUCCAGGUGUAGUGGUGAAAUACGUAGAUAUCUGGAAGAACACCAGUUGCGAAGGCGGUCUCUUGGUCCGACACUGACGCUGAGGCGCGAAAGCGUGGGGAGCAAACA
RNAcentral lists this ribosomal RNA (422 nucleotides) under uncultured bacterium. Its description in RNAcentral is "bacterial SSU rRNA". It matches the Rfam family "Bacterial small subunit ribosomal RNA", at positions 355 to 774 of the family's 1533-position model. The record is from RNAcentral.